RNAcentral lists this long non-coding RNA (2321 nucleotides) under Cicer arietinum (chickpea). RNAcentral's name for it is "long non-coding RNA (CARI_LNC000240)". The record is from RNAcentral. Lineage: Eukaryota; Viridiplantae; Streptophyta; Magnoliopsida; Fabales; Fabaceae.
AAAUAUUUACAAGCAGCACAAUAAUUGUCGAAAUAAAAAUCCAAAGUAUUCAAACAUCAAAAUACAUCGGGGCACUGAGGCCUAUCAGACAUAGCUCACACCUCUGGGGUAUUCUCGGCAGACCUGUACAAAAUCACUGCCCCAAGAAUUUUAACUCCCCACACGUCACAUCAAAAAGUGGUACAUGGACCCAUCAAAAUAAAAGUCAAACUAACAAUAUUAGUAUCGGUACAAUCUUCCAACAUACAAUAAAUACAUACACGAAUGAAAGACCUCUAGCCCCAAUACAACCGUCUAAUCUGAUCACACUAGAAAAACUAUACGACCUGAGUGAUCUCCACACGACCCGCAAGAUCCUCCUAACGCAGCUCCAGUCAGGUGUGUCCAACUACUUCCCCAUCUACAUGAUACUAACCGGUGGGAAGAUCCUGGUUCUCGUCUGAGGGCAAAGCCCAGAUUUCCACAAUAAUUGUAAAGGGUCACCAACCGAAAUUAACAAAUAUCACAUAGAAUUUAAAUUUCAAAUGCAUAAAAUAACCUUUCAACUUAGCAUACUCUUUGAAAGAGUUUUCAUAUGUCCAAAAACGCAUAAACGAUGUUGAAAAAUGAAGUUUUAACAAACUGCACUGUCAUAGUCGAAUACAACUGAGAAAAUGCAGAUUUUCAGUUCUAAAAUGAAUCUGAAUCAAUCAACACUUCAAACAUUAAUAUUGUCAAUUAUGAACACAUAAUUAACACCAAAUUAUUCUCCACAAAUUCACACAUCAAUUACACAUCGAAUAUUCAUAACAUCAAUUAUGAACACAUAAGUACAUCAAAACUUAAUCAACCCAACUUCACACCACUAAGAAAUUACGGCAAUCCACACAAAUUGAAUUAAUUUCAUUUUCCACCAAUCCACACAUAAAUCACAUUUCCAAAUUCAAUCCACACAAAUUGAAUUAAUUUCAUUUUCCACCAAUCCACACACAAAUUGAAUUAAAUUCUUUUUCCACCAAUCCACACCUAAGUUUUUUCUCAAAACUUCAUAAUAUUAAUUAUGAACACAUCAAUUUCACCAAACAUGAGUCACUAUAAUUUUCAAACAUUAAUCACUCAUAUUCAAUCUCCAAAAUUUUCAACCAUAAAUCACCACAACAACAUUAAUAUAUCAGAGUUCUCCCCACCGCUAACUCGGUGCCAACGGUCUCGAUUCCUUUUCGAAACUCAAGGAACUAACUACAUAAACAUGAAUAUUUAUAACAAUUUAUUCACAAUAAAACUAAUCCAAACACAUAAAAAUUCCCAAAAUUAAAUCUUUCUCACACACGAAACUUUUAAAACUAAAUAAUCUAUAUUAUUUACUUAAAACUAAAUAAAAUAAAUAUUGUCCAAAUUUUAUAUACACAUUAUCGACUAUUAAAUCACCGAAAUUUUUGAGUUAAUAAAAUACUCUAAACUUUUUUUUUUCUUUUUAAACUCAGUUCAAGAGUAAUUAAAAGAGUAACAUUUUAAACUCUAACUAUUGUUAAUUUCAAUCUAUCUUUUUGCUCAAACUCUUUAACUUAGUUAAAAUUUGAAAUUUUUCACAACUUUAACAACUCUAAAUUUUCCGUAAAAUUUCAACUUCAGUUCAAACUCAUUUAUUUGAAAAUAACUUAUUACGUAACUCACACAUCAAAUUUAAUAACCGCCAACUCACACCAACAAUAAUCAAUUCAAAUCCACAACACACAUAUAGCACCUCAAUUAAAUUUCAAACAAUUCAAACAUAACUCACCCAAUUUAAAAACUCCACAUUUUUACACAUAACCCACCAAAUUUCAUCAAUUCAUUUUCCACAAAAUCCGCAAAUAAAUCAAAUCUCAAAAAUUCAUAAUAAUAAUUAUGAACAUAUAAAUCACAUCAAAUAUGGAUCACCACAAACCACACCUCAAAUUUAAAUUCCUCUAAAUCACACAUAAUCGCAUUAAAUUCAUUUUCUACAAAUUCACACAUCAAAUACAUCAAAUUUCUUUUCCACAAAAUCAUAAAUAAUGUCCUAAAUGCAAACUAAACGUUUAGAAAAAGCUCUUACCUUAACGAUAGCUCUAACACGCGAUUACGGUACCGUAAUUAAUUUCGGUAAAAUUUAAGUUCGUGACACCGCGUCGAAAACUAGCUCACUAGUACCGCAGCGUUGCAAUGAACAACUUUUUCUUCUGUCACUUCUCGAAACGAAGCUUAGAUCUAGGAGAAAAGUGAAGGUUUUUGUGUUUGUGGGUUUUGAAAACAAAUAAUAUUUAGAAACAGUGAAGGAGGAAGAAGAAAGGAAUCUCGCGAGGCAAUGUUUUCAUUAUGUU